GGCGGCGUGGCCGAGUGGUUUUAGGGCGCUGGAUUUGAAAUCUGGAGGCCCCUGGUUCAAAUCCGCUCCACCCUGCCA
This 78-nucleotide transfer RNA is filed under the name Desmophyllum pertusum. RNAcentral describes it as "tRNA-Ser". It matches the Rfam family "tRNA". From Rfam's summary of the family: Transfer RNA (tRNA) molecules are approximately 80 nucleotides in length. Their secondary structure includes four short double-helical elements and three loops (D, anti-codon, and T loops). Further hydrogen bonds mediate the characteristic L-shaped molecular structure. tRNAs have two regions of fundamental functional importance: the anti-codon, which is responsible for specific mRNA codon recognition, and the 3' end, to which the tRNAs corresponding amino acid is attached (by aminoacyl-tRNA synthetases). tRNAs cope with the degeneracy of the genetic code in two manners: having more than one tRNA (with a specific anti-codon) for a particular amino acid; and 'wobble' base-pairing, i.e. permitting non-standard base-pairing at the 3rd anti-codon position. Lineage: Eukaryota; Metazoa; Cnidaria; Anthozoa; Scleractinia; Caryophylliidae. The record is from RNAcentral.